This 253-nucleotide ribosomal RNA is filed under the name uncultured bacterium. RNAcentral describes it as "partial 16S ribosomal RNA". It matches the Rfam family "Bacterial small subunit ribosomal RNA", at positions 524 to 776 of the family's 1533-position model. The record is from RNAcentral.
UACGGGGGGGGUAAGCGUUGUUCGGAAUUACUGGGCGUAAAGGGCUCGUAGGCGGCCAACUAAGUCAUACGUGAAAUCCCCGGGCUCAACCCGGGAACUGCGUCCGAGACUGGCAGGCUCGAAUCCGGGAGAGGGAUGUGGAAUUCCAGGUGUAGCGGUGAAAUGCGUAGAUAUCUGGAGGAACACCGGUGGCGAAGGCGGCAUCCUGGACCGGUAUUGACGCUGAGGCGCGAAAGCCAGGGGAGCAAACGGG